Molecule: long non-coding RNA, 935 nt
Organism: Monodelphis domestica (gray short-tailed opossum)
Lineage: Eukaryota; Metazoa; Chordata; Mammalia; Didelphimorphia; Didelphidae
Source: RefSeq, a predicted model, not a curated record
GGCAGUCAGUUGAUUCUGAUUCGUCACCUACUAUCACACAUGUGGAAAUCACACAAGUGGCUCACAGACCUCCCACUCCAUGAUUAAGUGGGAUAUUUGCACUUUUGGUGAUUAGAUCUAAAUGGGCAUAUCUUGUGACAGAGGCUGGUACUAAAGAAAAAGUGCGAGGCUAAAGAGUGUGUGGAACUGAUCACCAUGAUGGGGUGAGGAGCCCUAGGAGAUUAGAAUCUUGAGGAGGAGAAGAUUCUGGCUGGGAAAGGAACUGGUCUCUCAGUAUAGAGAAGCCAAAGAGAGAGGGUUGAAGGUUUACCCACUUUUCCUGCUUGUGGCUGGAAAUCCUUCCCCCCAACAUUUCCAAAUUGAAGACUAUUGAAAAGAAACCUCAGAAAGGCAUUUUGAAUCUCUGUCAGACUUUAUCUCAGCUCCUGUUGCCUGGGUCUGAACUGUGACCAAGGGGCCAAACCCAGGAUAUUUCCACAGAAGAGAAUAAAACCACAGAGGACUAUGAUGCCAUUGUUGAACAAUCAACCUUCCAGGAAAAUCCAAGACAACAUUCAGUAGAUAUUUAGUAAAUGAACAACUGAAUGAAUGAAGUCCUAGAAUCAAGAAGAAAAACUGAAGCUCCAGGAGAGUAAGAAAUGUACUCAAGAUCACAAGAAAUACCACAGUACCUUUUGGAUGAAGUCUAUAAUCACUCAAAACAAUAUGGACUAACUAUUCACACAAGAAAAACUGAGUGGAUGAGGACUAUCUACUGUCUAAACUAGAAUAUAUCCAUCAGUAAGAACAUACAUCUUUGGACAAGCACUGCAAAUGGAUAAUUUGUUGGACCCAGAAUUGAAGAGGAUGUGAGCAGGCUGGGUUGCUUUUGGGAAACCACUAAGUUCUGUGAAUAACCCCAAAUUUCUCCCCACAAAGACAUUCUUUUACUACUC